CCCCUCCAAUUUCUCUAUCCCUUUUUUGCAGGUACCCACACUUCUCUCUUCCUCCUGAUUAGCCUGAUAUCUUAUCUUAUCUGAUGCACUCGUCUUCUCAUCUUUGUUUGUGCAUAAUCUUUUUUGUACAUGUGUACAAGUUGUAUGUCUACAAGUUGUUCGAUGAAAAUCCAAGCAAGCUUUUGAGUGAUGUUACUGUCUGUUCUUUGCAGAAUAGGGAUUGAGAAUUGGUCAAUAUGCUGAACGGAUACAUUCACUGGAAAGGAGGGGUUGCUGAUGUUGUGAGCUUGAUUGCCUUUGUGAGUUCCAACCAGAUUGUGCUUUGCAGGUAUUAUGCAAGAGUUGUUUUAUUUAUUAUGAGAAAGCUAAUAUUUUUUGCUGUGAAUUACAUAUAUAAGUGUUAUGUUGGUCAUUAGAUUGUUGCAGAGAUACUAUAUACAGGGUGUUGAUUUUUCAGUUUGCUUGCUUGUCGCUUAUAUGCACAAUUAUGCGUUGUUUUUAGUUUUUCUGCUUGCUUAGUUGGCUAAUAAGAACAUAAAUGUACAUGAUUUGUGCACUGCAUUAUAUCCUAUAGUAUUGUUGUUCAGUGAUAGUAAUCACAAUUUGCAAGAACAAAGAUAAAUGUUGGUCCCUUUUUUGCUAACAAUAGGGACUCACUGAUUACUAGCAAGAAACAGGAUCAAGUGCAGGCUUAAUUUUCUUUUACAAGUUAAGGAUGAGGCCUCAAAUUUUAUUCUUUUAAUUGUAGUAAUUGUUGAUCCCAAAAUGCUGCCCCGACACGAGCCACCGCCGUUCGUCCGGAGAAGCGCGGGAAGAAGAAGAUGGGUAAGCUCCUCUUGCUCUUCUAUUGCCUAGCUUGAUUUAGUUCCUCUCUUUUCCAAGUUAAUACGAUGUACUAGAGAUUACUGUAAGACGAAAGCACAAAUGACGAUAUUGUUAAACAUUUUGAAAGAAGGGUCUGUUGGUUUAAGAGAAAACUAGCGGUGUUGGCUGCUGGUUUUUGAACCCCUGGUUCUAUCCAAUAUCAAUGAUAAAUGAGCCUUUUCCAACAUAUUUCUGCAUUCACGUUCAUUUGCUUAUUAUGGAAUAUUGUUUUGUGACCUGCGCAUCAAAGCUUAUGAAGGCAACUUAAGAAUUGUAAUACUUACAGAUGUGUUGAGACCUUGAUGGGAUGGAGAGACGUUUCCUUUCAAAAAUUACCGCUAGAAAUAGUAGAGAGAAAGCUCAAGCACGGAAAUGAGCAGUUAAUUAUAUUUGCCAGGUUAGCAAACAUUUCCCUUUCUUUAGUUGCUAGCUUCAGUGUAUUGACAUAUUAUUAUAUGCAG
This 1325-nucleotide long non-coding RNA is filed under the name Triticum aestivum (bread wheat). RNAcentral describes it as "long non-coding RNA (TAES_LNC022595)". The record is from RNAcentral. Lineage: Eukaryota; Viridiplantae; Streptophyta; Magnoliopsida; Poales; Poaceae.